CCUGGCUAAAGAAUAAAAGUUGUUCGACAUUCCUUUUAAGAAAAAGAGUUUCUUGGUGAAGGUACUGAUGCCUUUAAUGUGGAACUUAUGAGGUUCGAUAGAUAGAAGAUCUGACACAAUCUAGUAAACUCAUAGAAUCAGAUUUGAUUAGAUCAAAUUCAAAACCUAUUGUAAAAGCACCAUUAAGAAGAUUCGGUAGAGUACCGUGUCCGUUGGAUAGAUACUUCGGUAUCUAGGUCCAGGAUGUGAUCCUAUUGAACUCGAUGAGAAC
RNAcentral lists this long non-coding RNA (271 nucleotides) under Elaeis guineensis (African oil palm). Its description in RNAcentral is "long non-coding RNA (EGUI_LNC079800)". The record is from RNAcentral. Lineage: Eukaryota; Viridiplantae; Streptophyta; Magnoliopsida; Arecales; Arecaceae.